Molecule: ribosomal RNA, 811 nt
Filed under: uncultured Actinomycetes bacterium
Lineage: Bacteria; Bacillati; Actinomycetota; Actinomycetes
Description: bacterial SSU rRNA
Rfam family: Bacterial small subunit ribosomal RNA
Source: RNAcentral
CAAGUCGAACGCGAAAGUUCCCUUCGGGGGACAAGUAGAGUGGCGCACGGGUGAGUAACACGUAGGUAAUCUACCUUUGGAUUGGGAAUAACAACCGGAAACGGUUGCUAAUACCGAAUAAUGCAGCGGCACCUAAUGGUGACAGUUGUUAAAGCGGGGGAUCGCAAGACCUCGCGUCUGAAGAGGAGCCUGCGGCGGAUUAGCUAGUUGGUAAGGUAACGGCUUACCAAGGCGAUGAUCCGUAGCCGGCCUGAGAGGGCGGUCGGCCACACUGACACUGACAUACGGGUCAGACUCCUACGGGAGGCAGCAGUCGGGAAUUUUGGGCAAUGGGCGAAAGCCUGACCCAGCAACGCCGCGUGAAGGAUGAAAUCCCUCGGGAUGUAAACUUCGCAAGAACGGGAAGAAUAAGUAGGGGACAAUACCCCCUAUGAUGACGGUACUGUUUGUAAGCUCCGGCUAACUCCGUGCCAGCAGCCGCGGUAAUACGGGGGGAGCAAGCGUUGUUCGGAUUUACUGGGCGUAAAGGGCGCGUAGGCGGCCACCGCAAGUCGACUGUGAAAUCUCCGGGCUUAACUCGGAAAGGUCAGCCGAUACUGCGGGGCUAGAGUGCAGAAGGGGCAACUGGAAUUCUCGGUGUAGCGGUGAAAUGCGUAGAUAUCGAGAGGAACACCUGCGGCGAAGGCGGGUUGCUGGGCUGACACUGACGCUGAAGUGCGAAAGCUAGGGGAGCGAACGGGAUUAGAUACCCCGGUAGUCCUAGCCUUAAACGAUGAAUGCUUGGUGUCUGGGGUUCUAUAGUCCCCGGGUG